UCCCUGGUGGCUCAGACGGUAAAGCGCCUGCCUACAAUGCAGGAGACCCAGGUUCCAUCCCUGACUUGGGAA
Molecule: non-coding RNA, 72 nt
Organism: Bos taurus (domestic cattle)
Lineage: Eukaryota; Metazoa; Chordata; Mammalia; Artiodactyla; Bovidae
Source: Rfam